RNAcentral lists this ribosomal RNA (300 nucleotides) under Triticum aestivum (bread wheat). Its description in RNAcentral is "partial small subunit ribosomal RNA". Lineage: Eukaryota; Viridiplantae; Streptophyta; Magnoliopsida; Poales; Poaceae. The record is from RNAcentral.
AUGUUUUUUAGUGUUUUUCGAAAUUCAGUGUACUACACUCGAGAGUUGUCACACCUUUCUAUAUAUCUCAUGGUUUUGUGGCGUAUGCCUUGGAAACUUUUUGCCAAUGCACAAGUGCAAAGUCCUUUCAUUUUCCUCAUGUAUCCUCAGUUGCGUACUAUAACAUUUGACUAUGUGUCGUGUUGGUCUCAAUGGGCUAGCACAGUACUACAGACUAUGGCUAAAGGCUAUGUUUACAAACAUAAAACAAUGAUUCAAAGAAGAGGAGAAGACGGUGCUACGAUAUUUACCUCAAGGUGA